RNAcentral lists this transfer RNA (57 nucleotides) under Ovis aries (sheep). It matches the Rfam family "tRNA", at positions 8 to 63 of the family's 71-position model. Rfam says of the family: Transfer RNA (tRNA) molecules are approximately 80 nucleotides in length. Their secondary structure includes four short double-helical elements and three loops (D, anti-codon, and T loops). Further hydrogen bonds mediate the characteristic L-shaped molecular structure. tRNAs have two regions of fundamental functional importance: the anti-codon, which is responsible for specific mRNA codon recognition, and the 3' end, to which the tRNAs corresponding amino acid is attached (by aminoacyl-tRNA synthetases). tRNAs cope with the degeneracy of the genetic code in two manners: having more than one tRNA (with a specific anti-codon) for a particular amino acid; and 'wobble' base-pairing, i.e. permitting non-standard base-pairing at the 3rd anti-codon position. The record is from Rfam by way of RNAcentral. Lineage: Eukaryota; Metazoa; Chordata; Mammalia; Artiodactyla; Bovidae.
UGGCUUAGAUGGUAAAGCAUCUGCCUGCAGUGCAGGAGACCCAGGUUCAAUCCCUGG